This 253-nucleotide ribosomal RNA is filed under the name uncultured bacterium. RNAcentral describes it as "partial 16S ribosomal RNA". It matches the Rfam family "Bacterial small subunit ribosomal RNA", at positions 524 to 776 of the family's 1533-position model. The record is from RNAcentral.
UACGAAGGGUGCAAGCGUUACUCGGAAUUACUGGGCGUAAAGCGUGCGUAGGCGGUUUGUUAAGUCUGUCGUGAAAGCCCCGGGCUCAACCUGGGAAUGGCGAUGGAUACUGGCGAGCUAGAGUACGGUAGAGGAGAGUGGAAUUCCCGGUGUAGCAGUGAAAUGCGUAGAGAUCGGGAGGAACAUCAGUUGCGAAGGCGGCUCUCUGGACCAGUACUGACGCUGAGGCACGAAAGCGUGGGGAGCGAACGGG